This 94-nucleotide ribosomal RNA is filed under the name Bacteroidales bacterium. Its description in RNAcentral is "partial 16S ribosomal RNA". It matches the Rfam family "Bacterial small subunit ribosomal RNA", at positions 1 to 91 of the family's 1533-position model. The record is from RNAcentral. Lineage: Bacteria; Pseudomonadati; Bacteroidota; Bacteroidia; Bacteroidales.
ACAACGAAGAGUUUGAUCCUGGCUCAGGAUGAACGCUAGCGGCAGGCUUAACACAUGCAAGUCGAGGGGUAACAGAUCUCUUCGGAGGUGCUGA